CCUGGCCCGGCCAAAACGCCGGGUCCUAGAGGUACCUGCCGGGGAAACACCGCGUCCUGGAGCCGCUCGGCCGUGCCGGGAACAGCGCCUGAUCCUGGUGCCACCCGCCGGGCCCGCGCAUGAGAUGGAGGUGCUGUGCUGGGGACCAGUAAGGGACCGGCACUGGGGACACUGGAAACCUCAGGGACCUGUUGAGGUCACAGGGUGUGAGCCCAGGUGUGCUGGGACCGGCCCUGGGGACACGGAGCCGCACGGGUCGGACCCCACGUGUGAUGGGGACCAGUAAGGGACCGGCACUGGGCGGGAUGGGAGGAGCAGGACGGCUGCGGGAAAAGCCCUGCAGGGACGGGCCCGAGCGGGCUCCAUCACCCAGCCCAGGAGUUUCCUUUGGCUCUGGCGCUGCGAGGAGGAUUUGGGAGAUUUGAGCUGAAGCAGAGCGAGGAUUAAUCAGGAUUAUUGAGAUAUUAGCUGGAAUAUUAACUGGUUUACAGGGGAUGAGGUCCCUAGGGCACAAAUAUCCAUCAGCCCCAAAUUAAAACUCUAAUGAGCUGGAAUAAGGUGUGAGGGUAAACUGAGGCACAGAUUAGAGCCAACCCUCGGCCUCCACGAGCCCCCCGCGGCUUUUCCGAGUUCACUUCGGAGCCGUCGCUCUCGCCCGUUUCGUUUCCUCCUUCGGAGGUUUCGCUUUUCGCUCAAAACCCGAAGGGGAAAUUCCCUCCCCCGAAUUUGCUGCUGCUCGACUUUCAGGCGGCCGCCACUCUCAGCUCGUCACCGCGGCCGCCAGCACGGUCCCCAGCACGCAGGUGGCUGUUCCCUCUGCUGUCCCCUGGAGUGAUGGAGAUGGAGGAGGUGUUCCUGCAGCUCUGGGGGGAGGUGGCCAGGCUGCAGGAGCUGUGCUCGGAGCAGGGGAGGCUCCUCCAGAGGCUGAGGACCAGGAAGGGACCAGUCCUCGACAUCCCGGUGUCGCUGCCUAUCCAGUGCACGGAGGACGUGGUGCCAGGGGACGGGCAAAGGUCACCUGAGAGCGGCCAAAAACACCCAGGGGCUCUGACAUCCUCCACAUCCCCCCUGGAGGGCUCUGCUUGUCCCAUGGAACAUCCCCAGGCCACCAACAGGCUCCCCCCAGGCCCUGGGAAUGGCGUCAGAACCGGAGGAGCCGCAGCUUUUGGCAGCAGCGAGGGGGAGAAGGGAGAUGUGCCCACCUGGAUGAGAACCUGGAUCCUCCCUGUCCCCUGGGAAGGAGGAAGAGCCCCCUGCAGCCCUCGGGAGUUGGAGGCACUAAAUCCAGGGGCUGGGGGCUCCUUCCCAAAUCUUCUGGAUCUCUACAGAGCCCCAGAAGUGCUUGAGAGGGAAGAUGCUCCCAGGGAUGUGGCUCUCCCUGGGGAGGCUCUGGUGGAGAUCCGAGGGCCUGUGAAGACGUGCUGGACUCCAGGCUGGGUGCUGGAGGAGGAGAUGCUCAGGACCGACCCCACCCGUGAAGCUGCUCCAGCCUGUGACCUGUGCCGGGAGAUUUUCCCCUCGGAUGCAGCGGGACACGUGGAAUAUUUGAACCAUGUCUUGGCCCAUCUGGAGUAGGACUUGUAUUCCCAAUGGGAAAUCCAUGGAUUUGCACCACAGGACAGACUCUGCACAUUCCCAAGCUGGACUUGAUGGCCUUGGAGAGCUUUUCCAGCCCUGGGAUUCUGUGGCUGAUGAGGAUUCCGGGAUCCUCCUGCUGGUUUGGACUGGGAGCAGCUGCCACGUCCCCCAUCCUUCUCCAUGUAGAAUGAGCUCCCAGAUUUGGAUUAUCCUGGCUGUGUUUUGGGUUACUCAUCUCUGUGGAUGUUGAAGCCAAUCCUAUCCUGGGGUCUGGAGGUGCAACUCCUGGGAAAAGGGAAUUUCUCAAAAUUUGCCUUUGACACAGUGGAAAUGAAUCCUCCAUAAAUAGUCAGGGAUGUUUGGGAAGACACAUUGGCUUUCUCUGGGAGUUUGGAAGGUUGGGUGGGAGAAUCUCAAGGUUUUUGGGGUCACUAAGUAUUUUAAUUCAUUAACAGUAAUUUGAGAGUUUUAUGGCUCUUCCAUCAGUGGUAUCCAAUGUGUUUCCCAAAGGGUUUCACUACAGCAGUGGGGAAAUCGAGGCACAAAUCAUGGAUCAUCUUCAAAUCCCUUUAUUCUUCUGGAAAAAUCUCAUCUCAGGCUUUUCUAUUUUGUAAGUUUCUCCUGAAGUGGAUUUGGCAUCUCCUGUUUGAGAAAACUUGUGUUGAAAUGGAGAGCCAGGUUCUCCUCUAAUUCCAGGGACUGGGAAGAAUUGGGAUCUCCAGCUCCAACGUUCUCCUCUUUGGCAGCACAGAAAAGUCAGGAGUGAAUUUUCUUCCCCAAAGCAGAGCCACAUUAAUGGAUUAACCCAUGACAAGCCCACAUGUCCCCAGGGUCCCUGGAACCAUUUUCCAAAACAAAUCCCACAGCUCCUUUCUCUGGAUCCGCAGCUUUGACCUUGGAUUCUCCAUCCAUGUGGAUAUUGGAGCUGCUUCCAGCCCUGGGUAGAACUGGGGCCUUUAUUUCACUGAAAAUGGAUUUUCUCAAGGUUUUCUUGGGAUUUUCUCCAGGUUUUCUCCACAUCACAAUGAAGUUUCCCACCACUCUCUCCAUUUCAUCCUGUGGCUCCUCAAAUUAAUUUGGACUAUUUGAAAGGGUUUUAUGCUCUUCUUAGAGGAGAAACCCUCAUUUCCCAGGUGAAUCCCUGGAAGCUGCAGACCCAAAGCUGGAGCAAGGACCCCAUCAGAUUAUUCCCAUUUAUUGGCACCAAAUGGCAGGAGCUGCCUGGAGGGAGGAAUCCAGCCGGGCUCUCCUUGCCUGGGAAACUGAACUCCCAAAGCAGGAGCACAGAUGAUUUUUGUCAAGAGUCAAAACCCUGCUGUGGGGCUGGUGUGGCUCUGCAAAGCCCAAAAUGCCGUGGAAAAUCCCCCUGGGAGCGCUUGGGAUGAGCCACGAGAGAACUUGUGCUGAUCCUCCAUCCCUGGGGAGGCACAGCAGUGGAAGCUGCACAGACCUGGCCUCUCUCAAGGACCUUUUUAGCUCUGGGGGUAAUUAAUUCUGCCCUCCCAGAUGGUCCCCAGGGACACGGAGCUUCCUUUUGGGAUCCAGCCCUUUCCAGGGCAGGAACGUGGCUCUGGCUCCGAAAUAACUUUAAUUGCAGGGUGCUGCUGGGGCCCGUGGGUGGGCUGCGGUUCUUUGGGCCAGGCUGGGCUCCAGGUGGGUGGGAGUCAUUUUGGGAAAGGCAGGAGCUGGGUGAGGGCAGGUUCCCAUCAGGAGAAGUUGGAAAAGCGGGAUUGGGUGAAGUCUGUGCCAGGAGAACUCAGGGAUAAGGGUGUCCCACUCUUGUUUUCCAAGUAGGGAUGGAGCUGGCGAUGACACUCCUGGGGAAACCACGGCAGCAAAAAUACAGCUGGAAACGGGAUUUUGGGUGGAAAAUACUCAUUUUUGAGGGUUUCUAAUUCGGGGUCUGGGCUGUAGGAGGAGGAAGGGGCUGCCCGGGUGCUGGGGGUGUCCUGACAUCAAGCUCUGUGCACUAAUCUGUGUCCAAACACCCCCAAAUUCCAAUAUCCAACUCCUCUGGGGCCACAUUUUCAGAGGAGAUAAAAUAAAUGAGGGUGGGGCAGGGCGGGAUUUCA
Molecule: long non-coding RNA, 3650 nt
Organism: Cyanistes caeruleus (blue tit)
Lineage: Eukaryota; Metazoa; Chordata; Aves; Passeriformes; Paridae
Source: Ensembl